GACGAACGCUGGCGGCGUGCUUAACACAUGCAAGUCGAGCGGUAAGGCCCUUUCGGGGGUACACGAGCGGCGAACGGGUGAGUAACACGUGGGUGACCUGCCCUCAGCUCUGGGAUAAGCCUGGGAAACCGGGUCUAAUACCGGAUAUGACUCCAUGACGCAUGUUGUGGGGUGGAAAGCCUUGUGCGGCUGAGGAUGGGCCCGCGGCCUAUCAGCUUGUUGGUGGGGUGAUGGCCUACCAAGGCGACGACGGGUAGCCGGCCUGAGAGGGCGACCGGCCACACUGGGACUGAGACACGGCCCAGACUCCUACGGGAGGCAGCAGUGGGGAAUCUUGCGCAAUGGGCGAAAGCCUGACGCAGCGACGCCGCGUGGGGAUGAAGCUUCUCGGAGUGUAAACCCCUUUCGACCCGGACGAAUAGCCCGCAAGGGACUUGACGGUACGGGUAGAAGAAG
RNAcentral lists this ribosomal RNA (456 nucleotides) under uncultured bacterium. RNAcentral describes it as "bacterial SSU rRNA". It matches the Rfam family "Bacterial small subunit ribosomal RNA", at positions 28 to 490 of the family's 1533-position model. The record is from RNAcentral.